GACGAACGCUGGCGGCGUGCUUAACACAUGCAAGUCGAACGGAAAGGCCCUGCUUUUGUGGGGUGCUCGAGUGGCGAACGGGUGAGUAACACGUGAGUAACCUGUCCUUGACUUUGGGAUAACAUCAGGAAACUGGGGCUAAUAUCGGAUAGGAGCUCCUGCUGCACGGUGGGGGUUGGAAAGUUUCGGCGGUUGGGGAUGGACUCGAGGCUUAUCAGCUUGUUGGUGGGGUAGUGGCUUACCAAGGCUUUGACGGGUAGCCGGCCUGAGAGGGUGACCGGCCACAUUGGGACUGAGAUACGGCCCAGACUCCUACGGGAGGCAGCAGUGGAGAGUAUUGCACAAUGGGCGGAAGCGUGAUGCAGCAACGUCGCGUUCGGGAUGACGGCCUACGGGUUAUAAACCGCUUUCGCCGGUAACAUAGCGUUAUUGACGGUAAUGGGUAAAAAAGCACCGGCUAACUACGUG
Molecule: ribosomal RNA, 468 nt
Filed under: uncultured bacterium
Lineage: Bacteria
Description: partial 16S ribosomal RNA
Rfam family: Bacterial small subunit ribosomal RNA
Source: RNAcentral